RNAcentral lists this ribosomal RNA (492 nucleotides) under uncultured bacterium. Its description in RNAcentral is "partial 16S ribosomal RNA". It matches the Rfam family "Bacterial small subunit ribosomal RNA", at positions 29 to 507 of the family's 1533-position model. The record is from RNAcentral.
AGUGAACGCUGGCGGUAGGCCUAACACAUGCAAGUCGAACGGCAGCACAGUAAGAGCUUGCUCUUACGGGUGGCGAGUGGCGGACGAGUGAGGAAUACAUCGGAAUCUACUUUUUCGUGGGGGAUAACGUAGGGAAAUUUACGCUAAUACCGCAUACGACCUACGGGUGAAAGCAGGGGAUCUUCGGACCUUGCGCGAUUGAAUGAGCCAAUGUCGGAUUAGCUAGUUGGCGGGGUAAAGGCCCACCAAGGCGACGAUCCGUAGCUGGUCUGAGAGGAUGAUCAGCCACACUGGAACUGAGACGCGGUCCAGACUCCUACGGGAGGCAGCAGUGGGGAAUAUUGGACAAUGGGCGCAAGCCUGAUCCAGCCAUACCGCGUGGGUGAAGAAGGCCUUCGGGUUGUAAAGCCCUUUUGUUGGGAAAGAAAAGCAGCAGGUUAAUACCCCGCUGUUCUGACGGUACCCAAAGAAUAAGCACCGGCUAACUUCGUG